AUUCCGGUUGAUCCUGCCGGAGGCCAUUGCUAUUGGAGUUCGAUUUAGCCAUGCUAGUUGUACGAGCUUAGACUCGUAGCGGAAAGCUCAGUAACACGUGGCCAAACUGCCCUAUAGAUCAGAAUACUCUCGGGAAACUGAGGCUAAUACUGAAUAACGCUCCCCUGCUGGAACUGCAGGGAGCCGGAAACGCUCCGGCGCUAUAGGAUGUGGCUGCGGCCGAUUAGGUAGACGGUGGGGUAACGGCCCACCGUGCCGAUAAUCGGUAC
RNAcentral lists this ribosomal RNA (269 nucleotides) under Haladaptatus sp. AB618. Its description in RNAcentral is "partial 16S ribosomal RNA". It matches the Rfam family "Archaeal small subunit ribosomal RNA", at positions 1 to 270 of the family's 1478-position model. The record is from RNAcentral. Lineage: Archaea; Methanobacteriati; Methanobacteriota; Halobacteria; Halobacteriales; Haladaptataceae.